UACGUAGGGUGCGAGCGUUAAUCGGAAUUACUGGGCGUAAAGCGUGCGCAGGCGGUUUUGUAAGUCAGAUGUGAAAUCCCCGGGCUCAACCUGGGAACUGCGUUUGAAACUACAAGGCUAGAGUGUAGCAGAGGGGGGUAGAAUUCCACGUGUAGCAGUGAAAUGCGUAGAGAUGUGGAGGAAUACCAAUGGCGAAGGCAGCCCCCUGGGUUAACACUGACGCUCAUGCACGAAAGCGUGGGGAGCAAACAGGAU
This 255-nucleotide ribosomal RNA is filed under the name uncultured bacterium. RNAcentral's name for it is "partial 16S ribosomal RNA". It matches the Rfam family "Bacterial small subunit ribosomal RNA", at positions 524 to 778 of the family's 1533-position model. The record is from RNAcentral.